UACGUAGGGUGCAAGCGUUGUCCGGAAUUAUUGGGCGUAAAGAGCUCGUAGGCGGUCUGUCGCGUCGGCUGUGAAAACUCGGGGCUCAACCCCGAGCCUGCAGUCGAUACGGGCAGACUAGAGUGCUGUAGGGGAGACUGGAAUUCCUGGUGUAGCGGUGAAAUGCGCAGAUAUCAGGAGGAACACCGAUGGCGAAGGCAGCUCGCUGGGACGGUACUGACGCUGAGGCGCGAAAGCGUGGGGAGCAAACAGG
RNAcentral lists this ribosomal RNA (253 nucleotides) under uncultured bacterium. RNAcentral's name for it is "partial 16S ribosomal RNA". It matches the Rfam family "Bacterial small subunit ribosomal RNA", at positions 524 to 776 of the family's 1533-position model. The record is from RNAcentral.